GCAUCGGUGGUUCAAUGGUAGAAUUCUUGCCAGCCACAGUGGAUACUUGGGUUCAAUUCCCAGCCGAUGCA
This is a non-coding RNA of Gymnothorax javanicus (giant moray), 71 nucleotides long. The record is from the annotation of a GenBank genome assembly. NCBI's taxonomy places the organism in Eukaryota, Metazoa, Chordata, Actinopteri, Anguilliformes, Muraenidae.